GUGGGAGGGGGCUUGCUCCCGAUAGCGGUGGAUCAGCCAGCAAAUACAGUGGCUGAUGCCCAGCAAUCGGGAGCAAGCCCCCUCCCAC
RNAcentral lists this unclassified non-coding RNA (88 nucleotides) under Pseudomonas synxantha. The record is from RNAcentral. Lineage: Bacteria; Pseudomonadati; Pseudomonadota; Gammaproteobacteria; Pseudomonadales; Pseudomonadaceae.